AUUCUGGAUUACAAAAUGAACCCAAGGAAAAACUCCUGAGGUGGAUUCUCACUAGCGAAGGAAGCCAAUUCAAGUUCUCCAAGACAAGUUCGUAAUAUGGACCGAAGUACAACAACUAAGGACGAUCAUGACCCUCCAAGUCCAUCAAUAAAUCAGAAAGGGACUGGACAGGACAGACUGAAACAGCACAUGGAAGAGAUUUCAAAUAAA
Long non-coding RNA from Struthio camelus australis, 210 nucleotides. RefSeq lists it as uncharacterized. The record is from RefSeq and is a predicted model, not a curated record. Lineage: Eukaryota; Metazoa; Chordata; Aves; Struthioniformes; Struthionidae.